GACGAACGCUGGCGGCGUGCCUAAUACAUGCAAGUAGAACGCACAGUUUAUACCGUAGCUUGCUACACCAUAGACUGUGAGUUGCGAACGGGUGAGUAACGCGUAGGUAACCUGCCUGGUAGCGGGGGAUAACUAUUGGAAACGAUAGCUAAUACCGCAUAAUAUUGAUUAUUGCAUGAUAAUUAAUUUAAAGGUGCAAUUGCACCACUACCAGAUGGACCUGCGUUGUAUUAGCUAGUAGGUGAGGUAACGGCUCACCUAGGCGACGAUACAUAGCCGACCUGAGAGGGUGAUCGGCCACACUGGGACUGAGACACGGCCCAGACUCCUACGGGAGGCAGCAGUAGGGAAUCUUCGGCAAUGGACGAAAGUCUGACCGAGCAACGCCGCGUGAGUGAAGAAGGUUUUCGGAUCGUAAAGCUCUGUUGUAAGAGAAGAACGGGUGUGAGAGUGGAAAGUUCACACUGUGACGGUAUCUUACCAGAAAGGGACGGCUAACUACGUG
This 505-nucleotide ribosomal RNA is filed under the name uncultured bacterium. Its description in RNAcentral is "partial 16S ribosomal RNA". It matches the Rfam family "Bacterial small subunit ribosomal RNA", at positions 28 to 507 of the family's 1533-position model. The record is from RNAcentral.